CCUACGGGAGGCAGCAGUGAGGAAUAUUGGUCAAUGGCCGGAAGGCUGAACCAGCCAUGCCGCGUGAAGGUCAGUGCCCUAUGGGCGUUAAACUUCUUUUGUGCGGGAGCAAUAAUGGUCACGUGUGGCCAGACGAGAGUACCGUACGAAUAAGCAUCGGCUAACUCCGUGCCAGCAGCCGCGGUAAUACAGGGGAUGCAAGCGUUAUCCGGAUUUAUUGGGUUUAAAGGGUGCGUAGGCUGUGAGGUAAGUCAGCGGUGAAAUGCCCCCGCUCAACGGGGUGAAGUGCCAUUGAUACUGCCUGGCUGGAAUGCGGAUGCCGUGGGAGGAAUGUGUGGUGUAGCGGUGAAAUGCAUAGAUAUCACACAGAACACCGAUUGCGAAGGCAUCUCACGAAUCCGCGAUUGACGCUGAUGCACGAAAGCGUGGGUAUCAAACAGGAUUAGAUACCCGGGUAGUC
Molecule: ribosomal RNA, 460 nt
Filed under: uncultured bacterium
Lineage: Bacteria
Description: partial 16S ribosomal RNA
Rfam family: Bacterial small subunit ribosomal RNA
Source: RNAcentral